Molecule: ribosomal RNA, 116 nt
Filed under: Lepisosteus oculatus (spotted gar)
Lineage: Eukaryota; Metazoa; Chordata; Actinopteri; Semionotiformes; Lepisosteidae
Source: RNAcentral
GCCAGCAGCAAUAUCACCCUGCAACUCACAACUGGCAACCCACUGAAGCUAAGCAGGUAUGAGCCUGGUCAGUACCUGGAUGGGAGACCUCCUGCGAAAAACUAAGGUUGCUGGCC